Molecule: ribosomal RNA, 379 nt
Filed under: uncultured eukaryote
Lineage: Eukaryota
Description: partial 18S ribosomal RNA
Rfam family: Eukaryotic small subunit ribosomal RNA
Source: RNAcentral
CAAUAGCGUAUAUUUAAGUUGUUGCAGUUAAAAAGCUCGUAGUUGGAUUUUGGGUCGGGGCGUCCGGUCCGCCGUUCUGGUGUGCACUGGGCGCCCCUUCCUUUCUGCCGGGGACCGCCUGGGGCUUUAAGUAGCUCGAGGCGGGAGUCGGCGUUGUUACUUUGAAAAAAUUAGAGUGUUCAAAGCAAGCCAUCGCUCUGAAUACAUUAGCAUGGAAUAACAUGAUAGGACUCCGCUCUUAUUUUGUUGGUUUCCGAGACUGGAGUAAUGAUUAAGAGGGACAGUCGGGGGCAUCCGUAUUUCAUUGUCAGAGGUGAAAUUCUUGGAUUUAUGAAAGACGAACUUCUGCGAAAGCAUUUGCCAAGGAUGUUUNCAUUAA